Long non-coding RNA from Trifolium pratense (red clover), 1190 nucleotides. RefSeq lists it as uncharacterized. The transcript is spliced from 3 exons. NCBI's taxonomy places the organism in Eukaryota, Viridiplantae, Streptophyta, Magnoliopsida, Fabales, Fabaceae. The record is from RefSeq and is a predicted model, not a curated record.
CUGUAAUCAAACUCACAGCAAACGGAACUCGAAGUUAGAGCAAUCGUUCCUCUUCUCCAAUUACAAUUGUUUCGUGCAGUAGAUAUCCUUCUCACAUUAUUGUCAAUCCUAGCUAAUAUCCAAGAACCCAGAAACCACUGUGAACCCUAACCCAUAACCCAUAAAUCUCUUCUCUCCAAGAACCUUAAUCCAAUUACCCACUACUUUCACUGUCAGAAGUUGUACUCGUUCGUCACCGUUCAUCGCUGUCCGUCGCCAUGCUCUCACAACUCAAACUGUCGUCAUUAAGAUGAUAUAGGGCAAGAAUGGACUUUUGUGCAGGCUAAAUCCGAAAAUGUGCAGAAUGUGUGUGACAUAGUCAAGAAACAAUUGUCCCUGCUAGAAUAUUCAAAUGUUAUCGGAGAGUCUAAAUUUACUACACUUGUGAAGUUAGUUAUCUACUGAUAUUUUAAGGGUUUCUGGAAAGAAUGGAUUGAUGCAAAACCAAGGGCAUAGUGACUAUGACAGAGUGCAGUUUGGAAGUUUGAAGCCUAAUCUUAUGUCUUCUUUAGACACUACAAAAAAAAAUUACUGGCCAGAACAAAUUGUCACAUGAAGUCUUUUAAUUCUGUUCUACAAUUCUAUAUAAUGAUCAUUGUUCUCCACUGCUCGUUCUAAUGAAGCAACGACAUAAACACAGGACAUGAUGCUAACAAAUAGAAUCACAGAUACCAUAUUAGUAACAAUUUGAGAAAACAAAAGUGAUUGAAUGUAACUAUAUAUGUCGGUGUCAAACAGCGACAUGUCAUACACUAGACAUGCCUUUAAUAAAAAGUGUACAUGCUACAUUACAUAAUGUAUAAACCAUUGUAAAAAGACACAAAAUAACAUUUGAUCCGUUUACCUACACUUUUUGUACAGUUUUUGAAACAAAUAUGCUAUAACAUGUUUCUUUUCAUUCAUGUACUAAUAUUCCCAUUCCAUUUCUUUUAUAUUCUAAGAGGUUAAGUCCAAUCUUACAUAAGGGGUUUGUUGAAGCACAGGGACUAAAUGUGUAUUGGCUAAUCUUUUAGCUACUUGAUAUUUGAACUAGACAUACACAUGUCUUGAUGAUCCUGUUAUUUUUGUUUCUCUUUCUCUCAUUUUAAGUUGGAGCUAGAACUUAUUUCUCUCUAUAUGACAUACAUUUCUUGAACUUGGAGAAUCGUUCA